CAACCCUCAAGCCUCCGGCUUGGUGUUGGGGCCCUGCGGCUGCCGCAGGCCCCGAAAUGGAGUGGCGGGCUCGCGGCGAACUCCGAGCGUAGUAGAAUCCUAUCUCGCUAGGGAGGCGCGGCGCGCUCCGGCCGUUAAGGGAACGUGUUUUAACCCAA
Molecule: unclassified non-coding RNA, 158 nt
Filed under: uncultured Coniochaetales
Lineage: Eukaryota; Fungi; Ascomycota; Sordariomycetes; Coniochaetales
Description: sequence contains ITS2
Source: RNAcentral